Molecule: non-coding RNA, 2291 nt
Organism: Lolium perenne
Lineage: Eukaryota; Viridiplantae; Streptophyta; Magnoliopsida; Poales; Poaceae
Source: RefSeq, a predicted model, not a curated record
UGUUUUCAAACCAGUUUUAGAAUCAAAGAGACAAUGUUUUGGGAAAUAAAACUCUAACCUUCCUCUUCCCCCUGUGCUAUCUCUUCUCUGUUUGUAUCCAAGCCCAAGAAGCACCCUGGCCUUUCCUGCUUCAUUCUUUUUCCUGGACGAUGGACAAGGGCGUUGCCCUGUUUUUCUUCUCCACCAGUACACAGGCACAACAUGAUCUCCACCUUUUCCCUGACGCUAUUUCCUCCACUCAUUCAGCAUCCCACCUGACCCCUCUCCCUUUCUCAACCAAACCCUAGCCUCCCUACGCCGCCGCCUCCCGUCUUGAUUUCCUUCUUCACCGAGAGACUCGAGGGAAGUUUUCAGUUUCGUCAGUAACACCAAGAAAACCUGCCGGAGAUCGCUGUUCUUAUCGUCGUUGUUGGCCGCCGUUCGCUGCCGGACCAUGGGGAUGGAGUUCCCGUGGCCUCUGCUACCUCCUCGCUGAGUUACCGGAGCUGGGAGCGCUCAAUUCGCCUGCAUCGUCCUCGACUUCACGGAACCAGAGCCGGCGCUUUUUCAUCGCCUUCAUCCUCGUCUCGCUCUUCGUCGCUUUUCGAUCUUCCCCGUCCUCGACCACCACCUCUUUAACGCGCCAGCACCAGCUGCUCUCCGCACGCGCGCCCGGCGUCCCAUCGAGCAUCAGCACACAAGCAGCAUAUCGACAGUAGUAAGCCUCAUCACAAUGACCAGCAGUGCGGUCACUUUGCUUCUCCCCGGAUAGGAUCACGAAGUGGUGAUGUGAGAUACUGACGAGUUCUCCGACAAGUUCUUCUGCAGCUUUUCACAGGCGAGCCCACCCCUUCACCUAUUUUACAUUUACAUGCUCUUUUGAUCUAUUGCUAUCCCUAUGUUGCGAUUCUGUUGAGUCACGUGUCCUAUCCACCUGUUACCUAUAUGUCCGAGUUACACCUCCUCGCCCUACCUAUUGUUUGUUGUUUGCCAGCUUUGCGAGUCGUAGGCGAGUUUAGGGUUUUGUUGAUAUCUCGAAAUGUUCGGGAUAUCUUGUUGGGAGGUUAUCACAUGCUAUAUCUUUUGUUGGAGAUAAUCACACUUUACUUUAUUGUUAACAACUAAAAUUGUAAGCAGAGGCAUCCGUGAGCCCCUUUGCGAAAGCAUCGGAACUUUGACUCGCUAAUGUCCCCUAGGACCCGAGUUCUUGUUAUCCGUUCCGAGAUUGAGCGCUCUACCCGUACGUGGGGGAAUGGGACCCCCAUCACCCACUACCUUUCCUCGAGUCUGUUUAUUGGGAGCCACAACCUUGGUUUUAUUUGCUCAUAUGCACGAUGCACGAUUUACUUCUGUUGCCUUCGGGUGUUUAUAUUAUGUCCUGUACUCAUCCCGUGGAACGAUUAGCGACAGCAGGUUGUUCACACUUAGCUUAGCCGUUGGCACAAACCUCUGGGUCCGUAUCGGAGUACGGCCGAACUUCGUCACGGGUAGCUUAGUGGGGUGGCUCCCCUUAAACUUUCUCUUGCAUUGGGAACGGUCUUGUUGUGAGACUCCACCUGUAGUAAGUGGGUUCGAGCAUGCGUAUGGUCACAUUUGGGCAACCCCUGCAGGGUGUACAUCUUAUCGAUAAGCCGUGUCCGCGGUUAUGGACGACUUGGAAUUGUAUGGCUUGAUCAUAGAACAACUUACACCUUUAUGUUGUUGAUAAUAAUCUGCUAAUAACUUGAUUAGUAAUAUAGCAUUACUACAACCGAUACCUAAUAAAACUUGUCCACCGUUGAGUGCCUCUUACAUUGCCUCUUCGCAAUUGUUGAAGGGGAUACGUGUAAUCGGCUGGGUUAUGUUUGUGUAGUAUUUAUCUGUUACCUUGUGCGCUCUCUUAUCUUCUCUGAGUAGACGGAUGUUGUAGCUUGUCUCUAUUGGAUCGUAGCUUUGCUGCCGCUAAACUCCACAUAUAGCCGGGUGGAGUUUAUACCGCCCACCAGCGAGCAUAGCUGGUCUUGUCUCGCAAGUACGUGCCAAUGGUACUUACCCUCGCCUUCCUUUCUUUUUGUCUCCUCCCCCUUUUGUCGGCAACCGAUGGCCCGACUUUGACAGGUACGAGAUGACGACGUUAGCAAGGUUACCCUUCCGGCUUGGCACGGGCAGGGGUUAUGGACGCCGCUGGUUAUCUUCAGGACUCUUAGUCCAAUUUGUAUCUUGUCCGCACUCGGACGUAUUUGAUCUUCUGUAUGAUUUGGAUCUUUGUAUUGUGUAUUUGUAUCUUGACUCGUUGGAGUCGUUGUUGUAAUAUAUGUUUCUUGUGGGCUCUA